AUGCAGAAGAACCCAGCAGCUAUUGUUGCUGCUGCUGAUCAGUAUGAUUAUUAUCUCUGUUGUUGCAGGAGAAGGAACAUGCCCAGGAGAAGAAGGAGCACGCCCAGGAGAACAAGAAGGAGCAGGAUUAAGGCCCUAAGGACCUGGCAUCGCUGCUGCUGGACCUGGGACCUAGGAUUGCUGCUGCUGGACUUGGGAACUGGGAUUGCUGCUGCUGUGUGCCUCCUUGGCACCCCUGGAUCUGGGAUCGCUGCUGGAAACAAGGACCAGGGAUCGCUGCUGGAGGCGAGGACCUGGGAGCGCCUGGGACCUGGGCGCAUGGAGGAGAAGCAGGGGCAGGCGGAGGAGAAGCAGGGGCGGGCGAGCGGACGAUGGCCUGGUGAACGGGCGGGCUAUGGCCUCGCGGAUGGAGGAAGACGAUGGGGAUACCGAUUCAAACUAGGGGCAACGAUGUAA
RNAcentral lists this ribosomal RNA (456 nucleotides) under Triticum aestivum (bread wheat). Its description in RNAcentral is "partial small subunit ribosomal RNA". Lineage: Eukaryota; Viridiplantae; Streptophyta; Magnoliopsida; Poales; Poaceae. The record is from RNAcentral.